This is a long non-coding RNA of Bolinopsis microptera, 252 nucleotides long. RefSeq lists it as uncharacterized. The record is from RefSeq and is a predicted model, not a curated record. NCBI's taxonomy places the organism in Eukaryota, Metazoa, Ctenophora, Tentaculata, Lobata, Bolinopsidae. The transcript is spliced from 3 exons.
UCCUAACGUCAUGCCAGAUCAUUGCAAUUGGUUCCCGUCGCUUCUGUUCAAUUCCUGAUAGGCUAGGAAGUUUGUUCCUCGAGGUAAUAUUGUGGGUGAGCCCUAUCCUAACCUACCUGCUUGUCCCAACCUUAGCAGCACCUACCUUAUUAUCUCGACAUUCCCCCUCCCACGGAUUCUGCCCUCGUUGCAGCAUUGAAGGAACGUAGCCAUGAUAUAGCAGCUACCCGUCCACUGUACUAGAGAGAGAGA